GGAGUCGUAGCAUAAUGGCAGUGCACCUGCCUGUCACGCAGGAUUAUACGGGUUCAAAUCCCGUCGGCUCCGCCA
Molecule: transfer RNA, 75 nt
Filed under: subsurface metagenome
Description: tRNA-Asp
Rfam family: tRNA
About the family: Transfer RNA (tRNA) molecules are approximately 80 nucleotides in length. Their secondary structure includes four short double-helical elements and three loops (D, anti-codon, and T loops).
Source: RNAcentral